RNAcentral lists this ribosomal RNA (330 nucleotides) under Triticum aestivum (bread wheat). Its description in RNAcentral is "partial small subunit ribosomal RNA". Lineage: Eukaryota; Viridiplantae; Streptophyta; Magnoliopsida; Poales; Poaceae. The record is from RNAcentral.
AUGUCGAGUAUGAAAAAUGUUCCACGGAGCGCUCUCGGUGAUAUCACUAAUGGGGUACAAGCUCACUCUAUGCUCCUUGUCGACAAAAAUAGCCAGAUCAAGGCUCAAGGGCGAGCUACCGUGAAGCACAAAGAUGAUAACCUUCCUGCCCUUACAAGUUCAGCCGACCCAACUAGGUCCACCUAUACGUCAUUGUCACAAGAUGAGGCGGUAUUGCCUCAUACCACUACAAUCACAACAUAUGUCAUUCAUGAUAACCAACUACCUAGGAAGCAGCAUGAUAAUGCAGAUGACAUUGAUGGGUUCCGAGACUGCAUCUUGGGCGACUAG